GCUCUCACUGCUGCCAGACUUUUGGCGAUUUCGUGCGUUUAUUUCAUACUGCCAGUCACCAUCAGUGACAUAUGUGAAAUUCUGUUUCCACUAUGCAACAGGGCCUCUUCGAGACGCUAGCUGUACAGGCACGUCGCAAGCGCACGUAACAGAGCAGCACGCUGAAAGCCGUCGUUUUGGUCCAUUUCCUACGGCCUUCCAGAAAGAGAGUAGUCAAGGUAGCCCAGCUAAAGACCUUCAUGCUGUCUCAGGCCAGCAAGCUUGGAGCAGAGCUGGAGAGGACAUCAUCUUGCAGGUAUCUCCGCACCCACCUAUCUUUGUACCUGCCGCGGUGCUUGGGCCUCCCCCAACUUAUCUCCCAGACUUAUGUUAUUCCUCACUUGGUCCUCACACUCAAUCGGUGCAGCCUGUUUGUAAGUUGCUUCCUGCAGUGUGGUUGCUUCUUGCCAAUACUUGCUUUACUGUACAGGCAGUAUGUCAGCUGUGAAGGAACCGCGGGAGCCGACGACCGUUUUGGACGAGAACC
Molecule: long non-coding RNA, 526 nt
Organism: Ornithodoros turicata
Lineage: Eukaryota; Metazoa; Arthropoda; Arachnida; Ixodida; Argasidae
Exons: 4
Source: RefSeq, a predicted model, not a curated record